Long non-coding RNA from Mauremys mutica (yellowpond turtle), 1463 nucleotides. RefSeq lists it as uncharacterized. NCBI's taxonomy places the organism in Eukaryota, Metazoa, Chordata, Testudines, Geoemydidae. The transcript has 4 exons. The record is from RefSeq and is a predicted model, not a curated record.
GACCUGUAAAAAGCCCAGGAGCUGCAGCAGCAAGGAGGGCUGUAGUUAUUCUCUGAAAGGAGGGAGUUGAGAGGCUGGGAUCUAGUGAUCUAGGUAGAAGCCCAGGGAAACAGCAGCAAGGACUAAGACCGUACAGGCCUGGGCUGCACAUUAUAGGGUCCCUAGGCUGGAACACAGUGUAGAGGAUGGGGUGGGUUCCACUAUGGCUAGUGGCACAGGGUAUUGGAGAUAUCAGCUAGACAGUUGAUCAGGAAGGACUGUGAUUUCCCUGGAAGGGAAUGAACUUAGUGACCUGGCUGGAAGGCCAAGCCAGAAACUGCAAGGUGCCACUCUGAGAAGGGGAGAGAAAGAGGGUGUAGACAGAAGAUGGGUAGAGAAACCACUGAGGAGGCUGAAGCACUUGGCAGAGCUGACUGUCAGGAUAGCUAGGAGGAGGUGCUGUGGGUGGUGAGGGAACCCAUCACAAAUCUCUCCUUCCUUGCCUCAGGAGCUGAGGGCUUUGUAUUACUGUUGGAAUGAGGCUAUGUAGUCUAUAAGAGUAAUGGAAAAGAACACCUAUACCCCAUUCAAGGACUUGAGUGGUGCUUGUGCAAGCCUUCUAGACUCAUAUUGACUUAACUGGGCUUUGGAUGAGGCCCUAUAGAGAGAAGUGAAAAGUGCAUCACUAUUCACUUCUGCUAAUACAGCACUGGUUGUGCUCUCAGAGGGUGCCGUGCAUUUCAUUCACUUGCUCAAGAGAAUGUUCCCUAUUCAAGGAGGUGGUGGGAGGUGAACAAAAGGCACUUAAGGAAAACAAUUUGUUUUAGGAAAAAUUCAAAUUCUUAAAACCUCUUGGAAAUGUGUCUUGAGAAACUUUGAACAAUAUUUUCUUUUUCUCCAGGGAUGAUUCAGACUAUAGCACCUCAUCCCAACAGUAGCAUGGAGCCCUUCUGAAAAGGGAAUCUGCAGACAGACUGGACAACAGCUGUAAGAGAAGUGAAACAGAAUGAGAGGAUCUAUCUCAAUGUGGUGUUGGCUACCUAAUGACAAUUUAAAUAUCAACACUAUUGACUAUUUCACUGCUGCUCAUUUUAACAGUUUUAUCCCACAACCCCAAUCUGCCUCUGAAGAUGCCAAAAGCAGCCAAAACUUCCAGCUGCCCCAAAGACAAUUUCCACGGUGCAGUUGUGUAAUUAAUCAAUCUUUUACAUAUUGAAAACUAAAAUAUGGGGUCCCUGUAAAAUAAAUCACAUUGUAGAUAAACAUGACUAACAUUGUAGCUACUGUACAAAGUAUACUAUUCAUUCAGUUAAUUAAAAGUCUGUUUUUAAUUUAAAUGAAGCUGCUACAGAGUCCAGGGAUGGUGUGACUUUUUUCCCUGGUGGGACAGCUCUAUAUCUCACUGGAACGAUGUGAGGAUCUCAUUCUCUAAAUUGCCUUGAGCCAUCCUAAGGUGCACAUGUGAGGGAAACAGGUACAUUAAA